RNAcentral lists this ribosomal RNA (253 nucleotides) under uncultured bacterium. Its description in RNAcentral is "partial 16S ribosomal RNA". It matches the Rfam family "Bacterial small subunit ribosomal RNA", at positions 524 to 776 of the family's 1533-position model. The record is from RNAcentral.
UACAGAGGUCUCAAGCGUUGUUCGGAUUCAUUGGGCGUAAAGGGUGCGUAGGCGGCGCGGUAAGUCGGGUGUGAAAUCUCGGAGCUUAACUCCGAAACUGCAUUCGAUACUGCGGUGCUCGAGUACUGGAGAGGAGAUUGGAAUUUACGGUGUAGCAGUGAAAUGCGUAGAUAUCGUAAGGAAGACCAGUGGCGAAGGCGAAUCUCUGGACAGUUACUGACACUGAGGCACGAAGGCCAGGGGAGCAAACGGG